RNAcentral lists this ribosomal RNA (1198 nucleotides) under human gut metagenome. RNAcentral describes it as "bacterial LSU rRNA". It matches the Rfam family "Bacterial large subunit ribosomal RNA", at positions 1102 to 2317 of the family's 2925-position model. The record is from RNAcentral.
UGGCUUAGAAGCAGCCAUACAUUCAAAGAGUGCGUAAUAGCUCACUAGUCGAGAGAUCUUGCGCCGAAAAUGUCCGGGGCUAAAACAUACCACCGAAGCUAUGGAAUCAUACUAAGUAUGAUUGGUAGAGGAGCGUUGCAUCGGCGCAGAAGCAGUACCGGAAGGAGCUGUGGAGCUUAUGCAAGUGAGAAUGCCGGAAUGAGUAGCGAGAUAGAAGUGAGAAUCUUCUAGGCCGAAUAUCCAAGGUUUCCAGGGUAAAGCUGAUCUGCCCUGGGUAAGUCGGGACCUAAGGCGAGGACGAAAGUCGUAGUCGAUGGACAACUGGUUGAAAUUCCAGUACCACCUAUUAUCAGAACUGCAGGGACGCAGAAGGAUAGGGAAGGCGCAGAAUGGAAAGCUGCGUGCAAGCACAAAGUCGCAUCUGGUAGGCAAAUCCGCCAGACGAGGAUGAAGUGUGAUGCGGAUCGAAAUAAAAGUAGAGAAGUUCCUGAAUCCACACUGCCGAGAAAAGCUGCUAUUGCGUGAUAGGUGCCCGUACCGUAAACCGACACAGGUGGAUGAGGAGAGAAUCCUAAGGCCGACGGGAGAAGCAUUGUUAAGGAACUCGGCAAAAUGACUCCGUAACUUCGGGAGAAGGAGUGCCAUGUAAAAGUGGCCGCAGAGAAUUGGCCCAAGCAACUGUUUAGCAAAAACACAGGUCUAUGCAAAACCGAAAGGUGAGGUAUAUGGGCUGACGCCUGCCCGGUGCUGGAAGGUUAAGGGGAGAGGUUAGCCGUAAGGCGAAGCUUUGAACUUAAGCCCCAGUAAACGGCGGCCGUAACUAUAACGGUCCUAAGGUAGCGAAAUUCCUUGUCAGGUAAGUUCUGACCCGCACGAAAGGCGUAAUGAUUUGGGCACUGUCUCGACAGCGCACCCGGUGAAAUUGUAGUACCAGUGAAGAUGCUGGUUACCCGCGACAGGACGGAAAGACCCCGUGGAGCUUUACUGUAGCUUGAUACUGAGGUUGGGUAUUACAUGUACAGGAUAGGAGGGAGACUGAGAAAUCUGGACGCCAGUCUAGGUGGAGUCGCCGGUGGGAUACCUCUCUUGUAAUACUUAACUUCUAACCAUGGCCCGUUACCCGGGUCUGGGACAAUGUCAGGUGGACAGUUUGACUGGGGCGGUCGCCUCCUAAAGAGUAACGGAGGCGCUCAAAGGU